GGGCAUGUAGUGUAGGGGUUAUCGCGCCUCAUUCGCAGACGAGUCCGGAACUGAACCGGAAUCACGUGAUUGAGGAGGUCCCCGGUUCAAUUCCGGGCUUGUCCA
This 105-nucleotide transfer RNA is filed under the name Rhizoctonia solani. It matches the Rfam family "tRNA". Rfam says of the family: Transfer RNA (tRNA) molecules are approximately 80 nucleotides in length. Their secondary structure includes four short double-helical elements and three loops (D, anti-codon, and T loops). Lineage: Eukaryota; Fungi; Basidiomycota; Agaricomycetes; Cantharellales; Ceratobasidiaceae. The record is from Rfam by way of RNAcentral.